This 52-nucleotide microRNA precursor is filed under the name Callithrix jacchus (white-tufted-ear marmoset). Its description in RNAcentral is "mir-1302 microRNA precursor family". It matches the Rfam family "mir-1302 microRNA precursor family". The record is from Rfam by way of RNAcentral. Lineage: Eukaryota; Metazoa; Chordata; Mammalia; Primates; Cebidae.
UUUUUAGGAUAAGUAUGUCCCGUUCAAUGUUUGUGACAUACUUAUUUUAAAA